RNAcentral lists this ribosomal RNA (494 nucleotides) under uncultured bacterium. RNAcentral's name for it is "partial 16S ribosomal RNA". It matches the Rfam family "Bacterial small subunit ribosomal RNA", at positions 28 to 507 of the family's 1533-position model. The record is from RNAcentral.
GACGAACGCUGGCGGCGUGCUUAACACAUGCAAGUCGAACGGAAAGGCCUGCUUUCCCUUGUGGAUUGCGGGUACUCGAGUGGCGAACGGGUGAGUAACACGUGAGUGAUCUGCCCCCAACUUGGGUAUAAGCCUGGGAAACUGGGUCUAAUUCCCGAUAGGACUGCAGGGUGGUGCCUGUGGUGGAAAACGAUUUUCUAGUGGUUGGGGAUGAGCUCGCGGCCUAUCAGCUUGUUGGUGGGGUAAUGGCCUACCAAGGCGGCGACGGGUAGCCGGCCUGAGAGGGUGGACGGCCACAUUGGGACUGAGAUACGGCCCAGACUCCUACGGGAGGCAGCAGUGGGGAAUAUUGCACAAUGGGCGGAAGCCUGAUGCAGCGACGCCGCGUGGGGGAUGACGGCCUUCGGGUGGUAAACUCCUUUCGACCGCGAGGAAGCCACCUGGUUGAAAGGGUGGUGACGGUAGUGGUAGAAGAAGCACCGGCUAACUACGUG